UAUAUAGCUGAAGUCCACUGCUUCUCUUUUAUUCUUUUUGACUUUUCAACUCUUCUUUUCUUUUUCUUUUUUUUAUUUUUGGAUAAAAAGUACAAAUAUUACAGUCACAGCCUCACAUUGGUCAGGGCUCAAAUUCAUCCAAUCUGGAUUAGGGCUUCAAACUUUGUCACUACAAGAUCAUGCAAACCUUGCCGAGUCAUGGACAAUUCAUCACUCGCUGCAACCCGGGUUAUGAUAGAGAGAAAGAAUUGCAGGAAUUCGACGAGACCAAGGCCGGAGUCAAAGGCCUUGUGGACUCUGGCGCGACCAAGAUCCCCAGAAUCUUCAUCUUCCCACCCGAGAACUUGCACGGUUUGUCAACUGAUGCAAACAGGACGGGCAUCCAGUUGCCAAUCGUCGAUCUCAAAGGCUAUCGGGAUUCUCGGCGGGGAGAUAUCAUCGAUGGUAUUCGCGAAGCAUCAGAGGCAUGGGGUUUCUUUCAGAUAAUCAAUCACGGGAUUCCGCUCGACGUGAUGGACAGCAUGUUGGAGGGUGUGAAGAAAUUCCAUGAGCAACGAGUGGAACUGAAGAGAGAGCUGUACUCUAGAGAUGGUACGAAGAGAGUGAGGUACUUUUGCAAUGGAGAUCUGUUCCUCUCAAAAGCAGCGAGUUGGAGGGACACUGUCAUGUUUGAUUUCCAGGAUGGUGGCCUAGACCCAGAGGCUGUUCCUCCUAUUUGCAGAGAGGCAGUUUUCGAGUACGAGAAGCAUAUGGCAGAACUGAAGGCAUCUUUAGCUGAACUACUAUCGGAGGCAUUGGGCCUUGGUUCUGAUUAUCUCAGUGGCACCGAGUGUAUGAAAUCGGAGACGGUCCUAGGCCAUUACUACCCAGCUUGUCCUGAACCAGAGUUGACUCUCGGUACAGUCAAUCACUCGGACAUAUCGUAUCUGACUCUUCUCCUUCAAGACCACCACGGUGGCCUCCAAGUCCUACAUGAAAACCACUGGGUUGAUGUGGUUCCCGUGCAUGGAGCACUACUAGCCAACAUUGGAGACUUCAUGCAGAUUCUUACCAACAACAAGUUCAAAAGCAUGGAGCACCGAGUACUUGCAGCGCAGGUCGGACCCCGUGUUUCCGUCGCGUGCUUUCUCUCCCCAAGCAGGACGGAGAAAACCAAAUCCCUUGGGCCAAUAAGGGAGCUUCUCUCUGAAAAUAAUCCGCCCAUAUACAAAGAAACCUCUCUUUCGGAAUACGUCAACUAUUACAUAUCCCAUGGCCUGAGUGGCAAUUCAACACUUCCUCAUUUCAGGAUAAGUGACUCCAAAUAGAGCAGGGUUGUGGAAAAUCUGAAUGAGAGUACCAUGACUGGUUAUAUCAUGUAUCUGAGUUUGCAAGGAGGAUGCGACUCGUGCAAACUCAAACCCCAUUCACGUGCUCAUUGGUGUGUAACAGGGUCAACACUCAUCUUCACAAAUGAACUCACCAGGAAAACAAGGAUUCCUCCCGAUUGCCAAGGAGAAAUAAAACACAAAGGUCA
Molecule: RNA transcript, 1516 nt
Organism: Syzygium oleosum
Lineage: Eukaryota; Viridiplantae; Streptophyta; Magnoliopsida; Myrtales; Myrtaceae
Gene name: 1-aminocyclopropane-1-carboxylate oxidase homolog 1-like
Exons: 4
Source: RefSeq, a predicted model, not a curated record